Scomber scombrus (Atlantic mackerel) is the source of this 393-nucleotide non-coding RNA. The record is from the annotation of a RefSeq genome assembly. NCBI's taxonomy places the organism in Eukaryota, Metazoa, Chordata, Actinopteri, Scombriformes, Scombridae.
UGGUACACGUUCGGUGGAGGAACCAGACUGGAUGUUGGAAGUGAUGUCCGUCCCACCCUGACGGUGCUGCCCCCCUCCAGCCAGGAGCUGCAGCAGGGGAAGGCCACGCUCACGUGUUUGGCCAACAAGGGCUUCCCCUCAGACUGGAGUCUGGCCUGGAAGGUGGACGGCAGCAGCAGCAGCAGCAGCAGCUGGGAGCAGAGCAGGAGCCCCGGGGUGCUGCAGCAGGACGGCCACUACAGCUGGAGCAGCACCCUGAGGCUCACUGCAGACCAGUGGAGGAAGGUGGGCUCUGUGACCUGUGAGGCCACCCAGGGCUCCCAGUCUCCACUCUCAGAGACACUGAGGAGAGACCAGUGUUCCCAGUCCUGACCUGACUCACUGGGACUCUGC